This 301-nucleotide ribosomal RNA is filed under the name uncultured bacterium. Its description in RNAcentral is "partial 16S ribosomal RNA". It matches the Rfam family "Bacterial small subunit ribosomal RNA", at positions 509 to 808 of the family's 1533-position model. The record is from RNAcentral.
CAGUAGCCGCGGUAAUACGUAGGUGGCAAGCGUUGUCCGGAAUUAUUGGGCGUAAAGGGCUCGCAGGCGGUUUCUUAAGUCUGAUGUGAAAGCCCCCGGCUUAACCGGGGAGGGUCAUUGGAAACUGGGAGACUUAGAGUGCAGAAGAGGAGAGUGGAAUUCCACGUGUAGCGGUGAAAUGCGUAGAGAUGUGGAGGAACACCAGUGGCGAAGGCGACUCUCUGGUCCGUAACUGACGCUGAGGAGCGAAAGCGUGGGGAGCGAACAGGAUUAGAGACCCCCGUAGUCCCUGUCUCUUAUU